GAUGAACGCUGGCGGCGUGCCUAAUACAUGCAAGUCGAGCGAACAGACGAGGAGCUUGCUCCUCUGACGUUAGCGGCGGACGGGUGAGUAACACGUGGAUAACCUACCUAUAAGACUGGGAUAACUUCGGGAAACCGGAGCUAAUACCGGAUAAUAUAUUGAACCGCAUGGUUCAAUAGUGAAGGACGGUUUUGCUGUCACUUAUAGAUGGAUCCGCGCCGCAUUAGCUAGUUGGUAAGGUAACGGCUUACCAAGGCGACGAUGCGUAGCCGACCUGAGAGGGUGAUCGGCCAAACUGGAACUGAGACCGGGCCCAGACCCCUAGGGAGGCAGCAGUAGGGAAUCUUCCGCAAUGGGCGAAAGCCUGACGGAGCAACGCCGCGUGAGUGAUGAAGGUCUUCGGAUCGUAAAACUCUGUUAUUAGGGAAGAACAAAUGUGUAAGUAACUAUGCACGUCUUGACGGUACCUAAUCAGAAAGCCACGGCUAACUACGUG
This 496-nucleotide ribosomal RNA is filed under the name uncultured bacterium. RNAcentral describes it as "partial 16S ribosomal RNA". It matches the Rfam family "Bacterial small subunit ribosomal RNA", at positions 28 to 507 of the family's 1533-position model. The record is from RNAcentral.